Molecule: ribosomal RNA, 1034 nt
Filed under: uncultured bacterium
Lineage: Bacteria
Description: bacterial SSU rRNA
Rfam family: Bacterial small subunit ribosomal RNA
Source: RNAcentral
UUUGAUCCUGGCUCAGAUUGAACGCUGGCGGCAGGCCUAACACAUGCAAGUCGAGCGGUAGAGAGAAGCUUGCUUCUCUUGAGAGCGGCGGACGGGUGAGUAAAGCCUAGGAAUCUGCCUGGUAGUGGGGGAUAACGUUCGGAAACGGACGCUAAUACCGCAUACGUCCUACGGGAGAAAGCAGGGGACCUUCGGGCCUUGCGCUAUCAGAUGAGCCUAGGUCGGAUUAGCUAGUUGGUGAGGUAAUGGCUCACCAAGGCGACGAUCCGUAACUGGUCUGAGAGGAUGAUCAGUCACACUGGAACUGAGACACGGUCCAGACUCCUACGGGAGGCAGCAGUGGGGAAUAUUGGACAGUGGGCGAAAGCCUGAUCCAGCCAUGCCGCGUGUGUGAAGAAGGUCUUCGGAUUGUAAAGCACUUUAAGUUGGGAGGAAGGGCAUUAACCUAAUACGUUAGUGUUUUUGACGUUACCGACAGAAUAAGCACCGGCUAANUCUGUGCCAGCAGCCGCGGUAAUACAAGAGGGUGCAAGCGUUAAUCGGAAUUAACUGGGCGUAAAGCGCGCGUAGGUGGUUUGUUAAGUUGGAUGUGAAAUCCCCGGGCUCAACCUGGGAACUGCAUUCAAAACUGACUGACUAGAGUAUGGUAGAGGGUGGUGGAAUUUCCUGUGUAGCGGUGAAAUGCGUAGAUAUAGGAAGGAACACCAGUGGCGAAGGCGACCACCUGGACUAAUACUGACACUGAGGUGCGAAAGCGUGGGGAGCAACACAGGAUUAGAUACCCUGGUAGUCCACGCCGUAAACGAUGUCAACUAGCCGUUGGGAGCCUUGAGCUCUUAGUGGCGCAGCUAACGCAUUAAGUUGACCGCCUGGGGAGUACGGCCGCAAGGUUAAAACUCAAAUUGAAUUGACGGGGGCCCGCACAAGCGGUGGAGCAUGUGGUUUAAUUCGAAGCAACGCGAAGAACCUUACCAGGCCUUGACAUCCAAUUGAACUUUCUAGAGAUAGAUUGGUGCCUUCGGGAACAUUGAGAC